AGUGAACGCUGGCGGUAGCCCUAACACAUGCAAGUCGAACGGCAGCACAGUAAGAGCUUGCUCUUACGGGUGGCGAGUGGCGGGCGGGUGAGGAAUACAUCGGAAUCUACUUUUUCGUGGGGGAUAACGUAGGGAAACUUACGCUAAUACCGCAUACGACCUACGGGUGAAAGCAGGGGAUCUUCGGACCUUGCGCGAUUGAAUGAGCCGAUGUCGGAUUAGCUAGUUGGCGGGGUAAAGGCCCACCAAGGCGACGAUCCGUAGCUGGUCUGAGAGGAUGAUCAGCCACACUGGAACUGAGACACGGUCCAGACUCCUACGGGAGGCAGCAGUGGGGAAUAUUGGACAAUGGGCGCAAGCCUGAUCCAGCCAUACCGCGUGGGUGAAGAAGGCCUUCGGGUUGUAAAGCCCUUUUGUUGGGAAAGAAAAGCAGCAGGUUAAUACCCCGCUGUUCUGACGGUACCCAAAGAAUAAGCACCGGCUAACUUCGUG
Molecule: ribosomal RNA, 492 nt
Filed under: uncultured bacterium
Lineage: Bacteria
Description: partial 16S ribosomal RNA
Rfam family: Bacterial small subunit ribosomal RNA
Source: RNAcentral